Long non-coding RNA from Bubalus bubalis (water buffalo), 359 nucleotides. RefSeq lists it as uncharacterized. The record is from RefSeq and is a predicted model, not a curated record. The transcript has 3 exons. NCBI's taxonomy places the organism in Eukaryota, Metazoa, Chordata, Mammalia, Artiodactyla, Bovidae.
UGAAGACCGAGUCCAGCUGCGUCAUCUGGGGUGUGGGACGGACAGUGAGGCCUCGCUAAGGAUCACCCCAAAGCCCACCUCUCAUAGCCCUCGACCUGCCUGUGCAGUGGAGUCCCCUCAAGGAGACCGCGGUCCCGAGAAAGUGUGCAGGUUCCUGAGAGCCAAGUCGACCUCGUUCUGGCAGAGGAUGAGCUCUGAAACGUCCGAAAGAAAGGCCGUCUGUGGUGGAGGAAGAGGCUCAGGCCCUUCAGCUGGGCGGCCCGGAACUCGGCCGGCCGCGUGCGCCUUGAGACGAAGGCCUCCCGCAGCCGCUGCAGGGUGUCUGCGAAGGGGUCCAUCCUGCCGGGCGGGGGGCAACG